This 253-nucleotide ribosomal RNA is filed under the name uncultured bacterium. RNAcentral describes it as "partial 16S ribosomal RNA". It matches the Rfam family "Bacterial small subunit ribosomal RNA", at positions 524 to 776 of the family's 1533-position model. The record is from RNAcentral.
UACAGAGGGUGCAAGCGUUAAUCGGAGUUACUGGGCGUAAAGGGCGCGUAGGCGGUCAUGUAAGUGAGAUGUGAAAUCCCUGGGCUUAACCUAGGAACUGCAUCUUAUACUGUAUGACUGGAGUACUGUAGAGGGUAGUGGAAUUUCCGGUGUAGCGGUGAAAUGCGUAGAGAUCGGAAGGAACACCAGUGGCGAAGGCGGCUACCUGGACAGAUACUGACGCUGAGGCACGAAAGCGUGGGGAGCAAACAGG